GGUAAAUCUCGUGCCAGCCACCGCGGUCAUACAAGAGGCCCAAAUCAACUGUCCACAUAAGCGGCGUAAAGAGUGGUAAUAAUGCUUAUCCUACUUAACUAAGAUCAAAAUGCGGCUAAGCUGUCGCAAGCACAAGACGCACCUAAACACACCAUCAAGAUGAUCUUAGAAACUAGCGACGGAUUUAAACCCACGAAAGCCAGGGCCCAAACUGGGAUUAGAUACCCCACUAUGCCUGGCCCUAAAUCUUGAUACUUAUCCUACCGAAGUAUCCGCCAGAGAACUACGAGCACAAACGCUUAAAACUCUAAGGACUUGGCGGUGCCCUAAACCCACCUAGAGGAGCCUGUUCUGUAAUCGAUAACCCACGAUCAACCCAACCACCCCUUGCCAAAACAGCCUACAUACCGCCGUCGCCAGCCCACCUCGAAUGAGAGCACAACAGUGAGCGCAACAGCACCCCCGCUAAUAAGACAGGUCAAGGUAUAGCCCAUGGGGCGGAAGAAAUGGGCUACAUUCCCUACACACUAGGGCAGCACGAAAAGAAGCAUGAAACUGCUUCUGGAAGGAGGAUUUAGCAGUAAAGUGGGACAAUAGAGCCUACUUUAAGCCGGCCCUAGGGCACGUACAUACCGCCCGUCACCCUCCUCACAAGCCACACCCCCACAUAACUAAUACCCUAAACAUGCCAAAGAUGAGGUAAGUCGUAACAAGGUAAGCAUACUGGA
Molecule: ribosomal RNA, 728 nt
Filed under: Cairina moschata (Muscovy duck)
Lineage: Eukaryota; Metazoa; Chordata; Aves; Anseriformes; Anatidae
Description: partial 12S ribosomal RNA
Rfam family: Bacterial small subunit ribosomal RNA
Source: RNAcentral